AUACGGAGGGUGCAAGCGUUAUCCGGAUUUAUUGGGUUUAAAGGGUGCGCAGGCGGACCUGUCAGUCAGUGGUGAAAUCCCGGGGCUCAACCCCGGAACUGCCAUUGAUACUACAGGUCUUGAAUACGGUUGAAGUAGGCGGAAUGUAGCAUGUAGCGGUGAAAUGCAUAGAUAUGCUACAGAACACCGAUCGCGAAGGCAGCUUACUAAGCCGAUAUUGACGCUCAGGCACGAAAGCGUGGGUAGCGAACAGGAUUAGAUACCCCGGUAGUCC
Molecule: ribosomal RNA, 274 nt
Filed under: uncultured bacterium
Lineage: Bacteria
Description: partial 16S ribosomal RNA
Rfam family: Bacterial small subunit ribosomal RNA
Source: RNAcentral